GUGGGUGUAGCUCAGGGGUUAGAGCGCCGGGUUGUGGCCCCGGAGGUCGGGGGUUCAAAUCCCCUCACUCACCCCA
Molecule: transfer RNA, 76 nt
Filed under: bacterium
Lineage: Bacteria
Also listed under: 1 other name
Description: tRNA-His
Rfam family: tRNA
About the family: Transfer RNA (tRNA) molecules are approximately 80 nucleotides in length. Their secondary structure includes four short double-helical elements and three loops (D, anti-codon, and T loops).
Source: RNAcentral